GACGAACGCUGGCGGCAUGCCUAAUACAUGCAAGUCGAGCGAACAGAUGAAGUGCUUGCACUUCUGACGUUAGCGGCGAACGGGUGAGUAACACGUAAGGAAUCUACCUAUAAGCGGGGGAUAACAUUCGGAAACGGGUGCUAAUACCGCAUAAUAUCUUCUUCCGCAUGGAAGAAGAUUGAGAGACGGCCCGGCUGUCACUUAUAGAUGACCUUGCGGUGCAUUAUUUAGUUGGUGGGGUAAUGGCCUACCAAGACGAUGAUGCAUAGCCGACCUGAGAGGGUGAUCGGCCACAUUGGGACUGAGACACGGCCCAAACUCCUACGGGAGGCAGCAGUAGGGAAUCUUCCGCAAUGGGCGAAAGCCUGACGGAGCAAUGCCGCGUGAGUGAAGAAGGCCUUCGGGUCGUAAAACUCUGUUAUAAGAGAAGAACAAAUUGUAGAGUAACUGCUACAGUCUUGACGGUAUCUUAUCAGAAAGCCACGGCUAACUACGUGCCAGCCGCCGCUGUAA
RNAcentral lists this ribosomal RNA (513 nucleotides) under uncultured bacterium. RNAcentral describes it as "partial 16S ribosomal RNA". It matches the Rfam family "Bacterial small subunit ribosomal RNA", at positions 28 to 523 of the family's 1533-position model. The record is from RNAcentral.